This 272-nucleotide non-coding RNA is filed under the name Bacillus methanolicus MGA3. Lineage: Bacteria; Bacillati; Bacillota; Bacilli; Caryophanales; Bacillaceae. The record is from RNAcentral.
GAACAUCCGUGGGAAUCGUUUCGUUUUUGUGUUCCAACCGUGUUGAAAUGCUGAAACUAGAAACGGCUUCUAAUGCAUUUGGCGAAAACUCUACAUUUAAAUUAGGAUGUUUAAUUGCUUUAAGAUAAAUGCGUUGUUCUUCGUUUAUGGAUAAGUUGUAUGGGACUUUCACAACAAUCAUACGUGAGAUGAGAGCUUCAUUUUUUUUGUUUUCAACAAACGAGCGAUAUUCUGUUUCAUUGGUAUGAGCAAUAAUUAAUUCAUCAGCAUGA